AUACUUACCUGACAGGGAGAUACCAUGAUCAGGCAGGUGGUUUUCCCAGAGCGAGGCUCAUCCGUUGUCCUGGGGAUGUGCUGACCCCUGGGAUUUCCCCAAAUGUGGCACACUCGACUGCAUCACUUGUGGUCGUGGCAAACUGCGUUCAUGCUCUCCCCUG
Molecule: small nuclear RNA, 163 nt
Organism: Ochotona curzoniae (black-lipped pika)
Lineage: Eukaryota; Metazoa; Chordata; Mammalia; Lagomorpha; Ochotonidae
Product: U1 spliceosomal RNA
Exons: 1
Source: RefSeq, a predicted model, not a curated record